CUUGACGGUCCUGAAUGCACCUGAUCUUGUCCAAUCUGGGAAGCUAAGCAAGGUUGGGCCUGGUUAGUACUUGGAUGGGAGAAUGUCCUUGGACUUCAUCUGCACCAUGGGCUUUCCUAGGUCUCCAGC
This 129-nucleotide ribosomal RNA is filed under the name Propithecus coquereli (Coquerel's sifaka). Lineage: Eukaryota; Metazoa; Chordata; Mammalia; Primates; Indriidae. The record is from RNAcentral.